CAAAACUGACCUUUAGCCUAAUUUGAAUAUUCCGGACACUUUUCGUGUUUUGACUUUUUCGAUCCGGAGUACGGUUUUUCCCGGAGUCGGUCCGGCGGAGUUUUGCGGGUAUUUGAAUUGUUGAUAAUUAUCCAGUUUGUCUCGAUAAGCGUGAAACUAGAUAUUUUGAUUAUUAUAUUAAUUCUUAUCUUGUAAUAAUUGCAAUGGGACCCGCAUACUAAUGACUGAUUAAAAAGCCCCGUUUUGAUGAUUAUCUUGAAAACCAGUACCGAUUGGACCCCGCUUUAUUAUAUAAAGCUAGUAAAUACGUAUUUUCAUGUCAUAAACGAUCCAAAGGGGUACCAAUUAUUUGUAAAUAUAAAUAGACUUUUCUAUAGCUGAUUUUCACCGUAGAAAUCAUUUUCACCAGUUUCUUUUCACAAAUACCGAGAGAAACCGAGCGGUGUUCUUCGUGUUCUUCAUAAUCAAACGAGGAUUUGAAGGUGUUAUCGGAAUCCGAUGGAGGCUUAUGAAUAGUCAAAACGAAGCUAUCGACGCGUAGAAUCAGGUUUAAGCAUCCGUUUAUGUGCAGAUUUUUCAGGUGAUUUUAUAUUAAUUUUACAAAAUUCGAGUUAUUAUAAUUUAAAUAGUGAAUUUUUGCAAACGUGAUUGUUUGAUUGAUUUGAUGAUUCCAUGUUGUAGAGCGUGUUUUUCUCGUCGUUUUGGUAUAUUAUAUAUCGAUUUUUGACUUCCGUAUCAUAUAUAAAAUUGGGUUUGAUUAUUGGGUUGUGUUCUUGAAUGUUCUUGAAGGAUUAUGAAUAUUUUCAAUCGGAAAUUGGGGGUUUUUAAUUCGCUAAAUCUGGGCUGUUAUGGCUUAUAUCACUGGAUAGAGCAUGAGGAGAUGAAUUUGUUCGUGUAAUUAGUUUAUAUGUUGGAAUUCGAAUGGAGUCGCCGGAGUCUGGAAAUGGGUCCGCCGGCGGCGGUUGUUUAUUUCGAUUUUACGGCCAACCCUUAGAUUUGUUACUGAUUUUAACGACUUGAACAUGAUCCUGGUAGUGUAUAGAGUGUUUCUGGAGUUUCUGGUGCAUGUUGGGGGGCGGCGGCGCCGUUUCCGGCAAAGCUAGUGGUGGCCGGCGGCAAAUUGCCGUUUGGCUACCCAACUUAUGAAGAUGGUGAAGUUUGAGUACUGAAGUUUCGAAUCUUACAAAACAUCCCCUGUAACUUUUGAAAGUUGCACUUUAAACCCUGGACAAAACUUUCAAAAGUUUACACUUUAAACCUUUGAUUUUAAUUUUCAAAAAUUGUUUUUAUUUAAUUAUUUUAAUUUCAAAAAUAGUUUUUAAUUAUUUCUUUAUUCAAAAAUAAAUCUAAAUUGAUUUAUUAAUUAAUUUUGAUUAGCAAUUAAUUAUUUUAAUUGGUCAAUUAAUUUAAAUAUUAAUUGAUUAAUUAAUUUAAUUAAUUAUUAAUUGAUUUUAAUUGAUUAAUUAUUUGGAUUUAAUUAUCCUUUUUGAUUUAAAAAUUCUGAAAAAUAGUUUCGAGCUUUAAAAUAUUUUUCCAAAUUAUUUUCAAGGCUCGAUAAUUGUUUAUGAAUGAUUUCAAGUCCAAUUUCAAGUAUUUGGGACUUGAUUAUUUAUCCGAAAAGUGAUUCUUUUAUCGAUUUUAAUUCCGAAAAAUGUUUAAAAAUUCCAGAAAAUUCCCGAAAAAUCAUUUUUAACCCAAGAGUUGAUUUGAUAUCAAUCGGGGUGGGAAACCUUAUGUGUAAUGUGUUGUCUGCUAUCUGUUUGAUGUGUUAUGUGCCGAUAGAGGAGUUAGAAAACGGUUUUGACCAUAUCUUUGGAUCCGUAAGUCGGAAUCAAGUGAAACGAAAGAGAGACAGAAGCUUAUAACGUUUAUUUUAAUAUGAUGUGAUUAUAUGGCUGAGUCUAUAAGGUGAAUAAUUGUUGAUAAGUAUGCAUAAUGUGAUAAUAUGUGAUCUAAGUGUUAUCAGGUGAUGAUUAUGUGAAGUACGUGUUAGUUUUGAUAUUGUGAAGUGAUAAAUGAUUUAAAUGACAUAGUGUCAUGACUUGACUGAUAUUGGAUAAGAAUAUAUGGAUUAUAGUGAUUGGAUGUGGUUGGUUGAUUGAUGAUUGAGAUAGGAUAAUAGGUGGAUAGUCUUAUACAUAGACGAGACGAUGUCGGAUUUUCGAUAAGGAUUUAUAUGAUAAUUGAUUGGUGAUAUGUUAUGUGGAAUAUGAUUGACUAUAUGUUAGAGUCAAAGCAUGCUUAUGUGUUACGUAGUAUCUGAUAAGUUUAAAGGGGUAUAUAAGUGGGUAUCGAUAUACGUGAUAUGUAUAUGCGAUAUAUUGUUUAGUGACUAUAGUAUUAUCUUAUUCUCGUAAAGGAUUUGGACGAGACGUGUACGCUCGAAGACGUCAGAAAGUCGAAAUGGUAUUGCAAAGCGAAUAAGGGAUGAAUCGAGUAAGCGAAGCGAUGUGGCGAAUAGAGUAUAGCUAGAGAUGGUCUAGAGAUUACGAGAUGCAUAGAUUGUGAAAGUUGAAAGAUGAGAAUGAGCUGUGAAACUGGAGUCAGAUUUAAGGCAAGUAUCCUAAACCUUUCUCUUGGAUAUAUUGCAAAUAUUCUGAUCCAUUCCUUUGGUAUAUGUUUCAAGUAUUCAUACCUUUCUUUUCAAUGUUCGAAAGUGCGAGUAUUCUGAACCAUUCUUUCUAAUCUUCAAGUUUCUAAAGAAUUUCCGUUUUACAAAUUAAUUCGAAGUUCAGAUUGUCAUUGAAGCAUGUGUUGCUCAGUGAUAGUUAGAGCUUUGAAUGAAUUGGGAUCUUCUUGAUUAUUCAACCCGCCAUUGUCAUGCUGGUUUAGCAGGCUAAAUUCAGUUGCUUAGCCGAUAAUGGAGGAUACUGAAUAGUUGAGGAUUUCCUGAACUGUGAUUUAUGAAAUGAUGGAUCAUGAUUUAUGAAUAGAUUAUUAUCAAAGUUUGAAUUGGAAUUAUUCUGUUGUUGAUGAUAUUUAUGAUGAUGUUCUGUUAAUUUACAUUGGCUUCUUGAAUUGAAUUAGAGAAUUGGAUUAUUGUUUUUAUAUAAACCUGUGGACCAGAUUCGUGGUCAUGUUAGGCCAAUGAGUGCCUUGGAUCCAGUGAUAGAGCAUGGCGGGGCCUGCUCGGGGUUAGUGCGGAACUGAUCAGCUGCCUAACCUUGGUUUUAAUUAAAAUGUGAUAGUCCAAUUCAAUAAUUCUUUGGAAAGAUUGAAUUUCUCAGUUUAAAUGCUGCAAGGUAUUGUAAAUCAUUCUAUACAAUACCAUGAACUCAUGAACUCAGGUUGAAUCCUCUUAUAUCUUGAACUCGUGAACUUCUGUUAUAUCAUUUCAGAACUAUCAUUGUUUAUUAUUACUUGCUGAGCAUUGUUGCUCACCCUUGCUAUUCCUUUCUAACCAUUUCAGAAAGGCUUAAAGAUGAGAUGAUUGAUUGAGAUUGUGAGUAAGGCUAAUGCUAGGCGAGGAGACAGAGUUGAGGAUCCAGUGGUCGAGGAGUGUUCAGGAAAGUUGAUGAGGUUGGUGCAAGCUGGAAUAGUUGACAGUGAUUCUUCUUAUCGAAGAUGAUCUGAUUUGGUAAGAGAUGUUGUGUAAUAAUAGUGGUAGAUUCUAAUUUCAAUACUGUAACCUGGAUGCGAUCCUGUUGCUUUUAG
Molecule: long non-coding RNA, 3654 nt
Filed under: Daucus carota (carrot)
Lineage: Eukaryota; Viridiplantae; Streptophyta; Magnoliopsida; Apiales; Apiaceae
Description: long non-coding RNA (DCAR_LNC001886)
Source: RNAcentral